This 1028-nucleotide long non-coding RNA is filed under the name Homo sapiens (human). RNAcentral's name for it is "long intergenic non-protein coding RNA 844". Lineage: Eukaryota; Metazoa; Chordata; Mammalia; Primates; Hominidae. The record is from RNAcentral.
GCAGUGAGCCAUGCCAAUGUGGUUUGGCUGGACUGUGAGUGCUUGAUGCAGUCUGAUAGGAGGAUGGGGGUGGCGCAGAGAACAUUGAAAUCAGAAAGGAUUCUGCUCUGUAGAGACAAAGGAAACACAGAGACAUAGACAUGGAUCUGGGAAAUACACCUUUUGCUACUCGUUCAGUUUUAGCAAGGAGGUUUCUUGCAUGGCUAAGCAAAACUUAAACUUCCUCUGAGAAUUACAGGAAUUACAGGACCUGACAAAGCUAUGAAGAUUAAAACCUAUAGGAAGAAAAUCUGAACCAGAAACAGUAUGGCAGAAUUGGGAUCUGACUCACAGAGGGAAGAACUUAUAAUUCUUCACAGACGCCUAAAUACCUGACGUGUGACAGCAAAUGCCUGUUCCCAUGGAGCUGCUGCUUCUGAGAAAGCUUGAAACAGACAAAGAAUAAGGUAGAAAUGACCUCCUCACUAGAGAUGAAAAGAAGCUGUCCUGGUGAGGAAAUUGGAUCCCAGCUUUUGCCGCUAAGAUUCUUCUCUUCUGCCUCUGGUUUUCUUUAUUGUUCACCCCCAGAAGCAAUCGCUCUCUCACAAGGCAACACACGCAAUAGAGUGAACAGUGAUUCUACAGUCUGAUUCUGGAAAAGGCGACCACAGUGGAAAGAGUGAUCCACACAAGUAUAGGGCCUCCUGAUUAAAACACUAAGAUUUCAUCUCACGCUGUGCCUUUAUACUGUUGAGAUACUAAAGAGGACACUAAAGAUCAAAGUGCUACUUUACAACAUUUUGAAGAAAACAACUGCUACCUGUGUAUUAGUUUGUGCAGAUGUGUUACACAGCUUAGCUGUGUCUGUACCAGUUUAUUAGAAUCAAAGUAUUUUUAAAGUACCUAAGGCCAGGCACAGUGGCUCACACCUGUAAUCCCAGCACUUUGGGAGGCUGAGGCAAGUGGAUCACUUGAGAUCAGGAAUUCAAGACCAGCCUGGCCAACAUGGUGAAACCCCAUCUCUACUAAAAAUACAAAAAUUAGCCAGG